This 253-nucleotide ribosomal RNA is filed under the name uncultured bacterium. RNAcentral describes it as "partial 16S ribosomal RNA". It matches the Rfam family "Bacterial small subunit ribosomal RNA", at positions 524 to 776 of the family's 1533-position model. The record is from RNAcentral.
UACAGAGGUCUCAAGCGUUGUUCGGAUUCAUUGGGCGUAAAGGGUGCGUAGGUGGCGGGGUAAGUCAGGUGUGAAAUCUCGGGGCUCAACCCCGAAACUGCAUUUGAUACUGGCGUGCUUGAGGACUGGAGAGGAGACUGGAAUUCAUGGUGUAGCAGUGAAAUGCGUAGAGAUCAUGAGGAAGACCAGUGGCGAAGGCGGGUCUCUGGACAGUUCCUGACACUGAGGCACGAAGGCCAGGGGAGCAAACGGG